CAGAGGGUAGUUUAAAAUUGAAAAUACUAGUUUUGGGGGCUAGUGAUAAGGGUUUGUUUCCCU
RNAcentral lists this transfer RNA (63 nucleotides) under Plestiodon elegans. RNAcentral describes it as "tRNA-Pro". It matches the Rfam family "tRNA", at positions 1 to 62 of the family's 71-position model. From Rfam's summary of the family: Transfer RNA (tRNA) molecules are approximately 80 nucleotides in length. The record is from RNAcentral. Lineage: Eukaryota; Metazoa; Chordata; Lepidosauria; Squamata; Scincidae.